GUGCUCGCUUCGGCAGCACGUAUACUAAAAUGGAAAUGAUAUAGAGAAGAUUACCAUGGCCCUGCAUAAGGAUGACAUGCAAAUUUGCGAAGCAUUCCAUAUAUGU
RNAcentral lists this small nuclear RNA (106 nucleotides) under Carlito syrichta (Philippine tarsier). Lineage: Eukaryota; Metazoa; Chordata; Mammalia; Primates; Tarsiidae. The record is from RNAcentral.